Molecule: long non-coding RNA, 270 nt
Filed under: Mus musculus (house mouse)
Lineage: Eukaryota; Metazoa; Chordata; Mammalia; Rodentia; Muridae
Description: long non-coding RNA chrX:93638614-93638884
Source: RNAcentral
AUGCCCAAAAGAAAAGCUGAAGGGGAUGCUAAAGGAGACAAAACCCAGGUGAAGGACGAGCCACAGAGAGCUGCAAGGCUGUCUUCUAAACAUGCUCCUCCAAGGCCAGAGCCCAAGCCUAAAAAGGCCCCUGCUAAGAAGGGAGAGAAGGUACCCAAGGGGAAGAAGGGGAAAGCCAAUGCCAGUGAGGAUGCAAAUAAUCCUGCAGAAAAUGGAGAUGCCAAAACAGACCGGGCACAGAAAGUUGAAGGUGCUGGAGAUGCCAAGUGA